GCCAAGCUCUGGGUAUACAAAAGCAAUGAAGACACAUUCACCAAUCUCAAAGAGCGCACAGUCUAGAGAUGAACACAGCACAUAAAUGGUUCUCUUCCUCUUCUCUCAUAUUUUAUGAUAUAAUCGGAUCAUUGACCAUAACAGCACUCUUCCUGCCCAGGCACAAAACACUAACUACCCUAUGAAAGGGGCCAUAACUAUAUUCUGUGACUCAAGGCAUUUCCCAGCCUGCAGUUCCUAUACCCCUUCUCAG
This 253-nucleotide long non-coding RNA is filed under the name Papio anubis (olive baboon). Its description in RNAcentral is "lncRNA (ENSPANG00000040627.1)". Lineage: Eukaryota; Metazoa; Chordata; Mammalia; Primates; Cercopithecidae. The record is from RNAcentral.